RNAcentral lists this ribosomal RNA (164 nucleotides) under uncultured bacterium. RNAcentral describes it as "partial 16S rRNA". It matches the Rfam family "Bacterial small subunit ribosomal RNA", at positions 355 to 511 of the family's 1533-position model. The record is from RNAcentral.
UAGGGAAUCUUCCACAAUGGACGCAAGCCUGAUGGAGCAACACCGCGUGAGUGAAGAAGGGUUUCGGCUCGUAAAGCUCUGUUGUUAAAGAAGAACACGUAUGAGAGUAACUGUUCAUACGUUGACGGUAUUUAACCAGAAAGUCACGGCUAACUACGUGCCCG